This 910-nucleotide long non-coding RNA is filed under the name Nicotiana benthamiana. Its description in RNAcentral is "long non-coding RNA (NBEN_LNC004747)". The record is from RNAcentral. Lineage: Eukaryota; Viridiplantae; Streptophyta; Magnoliopsida; Solanales; Solanaceae.
GAAAAUCAUUGACGUUUAACGAUGCUUUUUCGGUGUUUAGACGAGGGGGAUUGAGAGGGGACUUUAAUUCAGUAAGUGCAGAGGAAUCCAACAAAAGAUUUGAUGAUUUCAUUAAGAAAAUCAACCGUGAGAGAAUGUUGCAGAGGCAAGAAUCUGAUCAGCGUGCCUUUAACAAUAUGCUAAACCGGGCUCGUUAAUUAACUCAGAUUGUUUACUUGUUUAGGUUGAUAGAAAUAGUAUAUAUAUGAGUACUAAUGUCGUACAGAUCAAAGCCAUCCCACGAAGAGAUUUUUAUUUUUAACUACUAACUGUAUUACUACUACAACUACUACUGUUUGCAGUUUUUUUUUUCUGCGGGUGUUCGCAAUAUAUUUAGAUCACAUUAUUUAUAUUUCAGUUGGCAUAUAACAAUGUUCAAACUUAAAGUCAGAAAAAUAUAAAUUCCUCUAACCUUAAAUGUUGCAAUAUUUAGAACACAAUCCUUAGUAUUGAUUAAAACAAUUCUCCAAAGAAAAUCAACCAUGAGAGAAUGUUGCAGAGGCAAGAAUCUGAUCAGCGUGCCUUUAAUAAUAUGCUAAACCGGGCUCGUUAAUUAAAUAGGAUUGUUUCUUUACUAGCUUAGGUUGAUAGAAAUAGUUUAUACUAUUAUGACUACUCUUUGUUCAUUAAUGUUGUACAGAGAAAUUAAGCCAUCCCACGAAGAGUUUUUCAUUUUGACUAGUAACUGUAAUAGUAGUACUACUACUGCUACAUUUUUUUUUCUUUUCUUUUUCUGUGGUGUUCGCAACGUCUUUAGAAUUUAGAUCAUAUUAUUUUCAUUUCAGUUGGCAUGUAACAAUGUUCAAACUUAAGUAAGAAAGACAUAAAUUACUCUAACCUUAAAUGUUGCAAUAAUUAGAACAAAAUCCUU